This 436-nucleotide ribosomal RNA is filed under the name uncultured bacterium. RNAcentral describes it as "partial 16S ribosomal RNA". It matches the Rfam family "Bacterial small subunit ribosomal RNA", at positions 28 to 507 of the family's 1533-position model. The record is from RNAcentral.
GACGAACGCUGGCGGCAUGCCUAACACAUGCAAGUCGAACGAGAAGGUCCGGGGUCGAGUGGCGCACGGGUGCGCAACGCGUGGGAAUGUGCGUAAAGGGUCGGAAUAACAGUUAGAAAUGACGGCUAAUACCGGAUGAUGACGUUAAGUGCAAAGAUUUAUCGCCUGAGGAUGAGCCCGCGUAGGUGUAGCUAGUGGGUGUGGUAAAGGCACACCAAGGCGACGAUCCGUAGCUGGUCUGAGAGGGUGAUCAGCCACACUGGGACUGAGACACGGCCCAGACUCCUACGGGAGGCAGCAGUGGGUAAUAUUGGACAGUGGGCGCAAGCCUGAUCCAGCAAUGCCGCGUGAGUGAUGAAGGCCUUAGGGUUGUAAAGCUCUUUUACCCGAGAUGAUAAUGACAGUACCGGGAGAAUAAGCCCCGGCUAACUCCGUG